UACCACCACCAUUCUGUACACGAAGAAGCAGUCCUCAGCCUGCAGUUUCUGCAGGUGUUUAUACAGGUGUGAGUCCUUGCGCUUGAUAAUCUGUGAGACAGUCUUCAGCUG
Non-coding RNA from Lolium perenne, 111 nucleotides. Lineage: Eukaryota; Viridiplantae; Streptophyta; Magnoliopsida; Poales; Poaceae. The record is from RefSeq and is a predicted model, not a curated record.